GCGAUAUGUUCAAAAAUCUGUAACUAGAGCUCAAAAUUUAAAAAAAAAAUUGUUAAAAACAGGGGGGUUGGCCUAUUCCAUGGCUUCUAGAGAAAAAUAAUGAGGGGUGUCACGGGGUAUGACUAUAUAGGUCUUGUAGAGGAGAAACAGGCGCAUCUUUUGCGCAAGGUAUUGAAGGGCGGUAUGUUCAAAAAUCUGAAACUAGAGCUCAAAAUUUGAAAAAAAAAUUGUUAAAAACAGGGGGUUGGCCUAUUCCAUGGCUUCUAGAGAAAAAUAAUGAGGGGUGUCACGGGGUAUGACUAUAUAGGUCUUGUAGAGGAGAAACAGGCGCAUCUUUUGCGCAAGGUAUCGAAGGGCGCUAUGUUCAAAAAUCUGAAACUAGAGCUCAAAAUUUGAAAAAAAAAAAUGUUAAAAACAGGGAGAUUGGCCUAUUCCAUGGCUUUUAGAGAAAAAUAAUGAGUGGUGUCACGGGGUAUGACUAUAUAGGUCUUGUAGAGGAGAAACAGGCGCAUCUUUUGCGCAAGGUAUCGAAGGGCGCUAUGUUCAAAAAUCUGAAACUAGAGCUCAAAAUUUGGAAAAAAAAAAUGUUAAAAACAGGGGGUUGGCCUAUUCCAUGGCUUCUAGAGAAAAAUAAUGAGGGUUGUCACGGGGUAUGACUAUAUAGGUCUUGUAGAAGAGAAACAAGCGCAUCUUUUGCGCAAAGUAACGAAGGGCGCUAUGUUAAAAAAUCUGAAACUAGAGCUCAAAAUUUGAAAAAAAAUUUAUUAAAAACAGGGGGUUGGCCUAUUCCAUGGCUUCUAGAGAAAAAUAAUGAGGGUGUCACGGGGUUUGACUAUAUAGGUCUUGUAGAGUAGAAACAGGCGCAUCUUUUGCGCAAGGUAUUGAAGGGCGCUAUGUUAAAAAAUCUGAAACUAGAGCUCAAAAUGUGAAAAAAAAAAUUGUUAAAAACAGGGGGUUGGCCUAUUCCAUGGCUUCUAGAGAAAAAUAAUGAGGGGUGUCACGGGGUAUGACUAUAUAGGUCUUGUAGAGGAGAAACAGGCGCAUCUUUUGCGCAAGGUAUAGAAGGGCGCUAUGUUCAAAAAUCUGAAACUAGAGCUCAAAAUUUGAAAAAAAUUUGUUAAAAACAGGGGGAAUGGCCUAUUCCAUGGCUUCUAGAGAAAAAUAAUGAGGGGUGUCACGGGGUAUGACUAUAUAGGUCUUGUAGAAGAGAAACAAGCGCAUCUUUUGCGCAAGGUAUCGAAGGGCGCUAUGUUCAAAAAUCUGAAACUAGAGCUCAAAAUUUGAAAAAAAUUUGUUAAAAACAGGGGGAAUGGCCUAUUCCAUGGCUUCUAGAGAAAAAAAUUGAGGGGUGUCACGGAGUAUGACUAUAUAGGUCUUGUAGAAGAGAAACAGGCGCAUCUUUUGCGCAAGGUAUCGAAGGGCGCUAUGUUCAAAAAUCUAAAACUAGAGCUCAAAAUUUGAAAAAAAUUGUUAAAACAGGGGGGUUGGCCUAUUCCAUGGCUUCUACAGAAAAAUAAUGAGGGGUGUCACGGGGUAUGACUAUAUAGGUCUUGUAGAGGAGAAACAGGCGCAUCUUUUGCGCAAGGUAUCGAAGGGCGCUAUGUUAAAAAAUCUGAAACUAGAGCUCAAAAUUUGAAAAAUUUUUGUUAAAAACAGGGGGAAUGGCCUAUUCCAUGGCUUCUAGAGAAAAAUAACGAGGGGUGUCACGGGGUAUGACUAUAUAGGUCUUGUAGAGGAGAAACAGGCGCAUCUUUUGCGCAAGGUAUAGAAGGGCGCUAUGUUCAAAAAUCUGAAACUAGAGCUCAAAAUUUGAAAAAAAUU
Molecule: long non-coding RNA, 1821 nt
Organism: Mytilus californianus (California mussel)
Lineage: Eukaryota; Metazoa; Mollusca; Bivalvia; Mytilida; Mytilidae
Exons: 9
Source: RefSeq, a predicted model, not a curated record